This 730-nucleotide ribosomal RNA is filed under the name uncultured Bacilli bacterium. RNAcentral's name for it is "bacterial SSU rRNA". It matches the Rfam family "Bacterial small subunit ribosomal RNA", at positions 68 to 769 of the family's 1533-position model. The record is from RNAcentral. Lineage: Bacteria; Bacillati; Bacillota; Bacilli.
GCUUCUUUCCUCCCGAGUGCUUGCACUCAACUGGAAAGAGGAGUGGCGGACGGGUGAGUAACACGUGGGUAACCUACCCAUCAGAGGGGGAUAACACUUGGAAACAGGUGCUAAUACCGCAUAACAGUUUAUGCCGCAUGGCAUAAGAGUGAAAGGCGCUUUCGGGUGUCGCUGAUGGAUGGACCCGCGGUGCAUUAGCCAGUUGGUGAGGUAACGGCUCACCAAGGCCACGAUGCAUAGCCGACCUGAGAGGGUGAUCGGCCACACUGGGACUGAGACACGGCCCAGACUCCUACGGGAGGCAGCAGUAGGGAAUCUUCGGCAAUGGACGAAAGUCUGACCGAGCAACGCCGCGUGAGUGAAGAAGGUUUUCGGAUCGUAAAACUCUGUUGUUAGAGAAGAACAAGGACGUUAGUAACUGAACGUCCCCUGACGGUAUCUAACCAGAAAGCCACGGCUAACUACGUGCCAGCAGCCGCGGUAAUACGUAGGUGGCAAGCGUUGUCCGGAUUUAUUGGGCGUAAAGCGAGCGCAGGCGGUUUCUUAAGUCUGAUGUGAAAGCCCCCGGCUCAACCGGGGAGGGUCAUUGGAAACUGGGAGACUUGAGUGCAGAAGAGGAGAGUGGAAUUCCAUGUGUAGCGGUGAAAUGCGUAGAUAUAUGGAGGAACACCAGUGGCGAAGGCGGCUCUCUGGUCUGUAACUGACGCUGAGGCUCGAAAGCGUGGGGAGC